AAUUUUGGAAAAGGGUCGCAAGCCUGAUCCAGCCAUGCCGUGAGAGUGAAUAAGGCCUUCUGGUUGUAAAGCUCGUCCGGACGAAAAGAAAUCGCGCAGGCUAAUACCCUGCGAUGAUGACGAUACCGUCAUUAGAAGCACCGGCUAACUACGUGCCAGCCGCCGCGGUAAUACGUAGGGUGCGAGCGUUAAUCGGAAUUACUGGGCGUAAAGCGUGCGCAGGCGGUUGAUUAAGACAGGCGUGAAAUCCCCGGGCUUAACCUGGGAACUGCGCUUGUGACUGGUCAGCUAGAGUACGGCAGAGGGGGGUGGAAUUCCACGUGUAGCAGUGAAAUGCGUAGAGAUGUGGAGGAACACCGAUGGCGAAGGCAGCCCCCUGGGCCGAUACUGACGCUCAUGCACGAAAGCGUGGGUAGCAAACAGG
This 424-nucleotide ribosomal RNA is filed under the name uncultured bacterium. RNAcentral describes it as "partial 16S ribosomal RNA". It matches the Rfam family "Bacterial small subunit ribosomal RNA", at positions 360 to 776 of the family's 1533-position model. The record is from RNAcentral.